UUGCAGGGGGGUGGUGUCAAUAGGUUGCUUUGAAAUUUGAGCAUCGAAAUAAUAAAGAAUGCAGUUAUAACCCGCCUUAUGAGUGGCAAGUUUACAAGUAUGCAAGAUUUCAUUGCACUCUUAAUGGUUGUUAUGGAAUUCCUUUGGUCCAUUACAAAGGUCGCCUAGGAAACUAUUACAUUCUUGUCAUGGAUAUGCUAGGCCCAAGUUUGUGGGAUGUUUGGAGCACUAAGAACCAGAUGCUGUCUGAAGAGAUGGUUUCUUGUAUAGCAGUGGAGGCAAUACCAAUCUUACAGCAGCUUCACUUUAAGGGGUACCUCACUUUCUCUCUCUCCCUCUCUCUCUCUCUCUCUCUCUCUCUCAUAUGUAUAUAUGCACAUGUAUUCUGAGCAUGCUCAUAGUUAAUUUUAUUUGGUGAUUGAUGGUGUAGGCACUACAAGUUAGUUUUUGCAUAAGUCUCAUCUGCAAUAUAUAUGUAUACAAAAUAGUCUCACUUGCAUGACAAAUCCAACACGAAUGUUUUGACAUUCUGUUUAACUAAUGUAAGAGUCAAUGCAUAGUUGGUUCCAAGAAGUGAAUUGAGAAACUUCCCAACUAGAGAUGGAAUGGAAGAAUAUUUCCAAUCACAAUUUUUGCGUAGUUGUUAGUGAUGAGUGUUAUUUAGUACAUAACCAGAUUAAAUUGGUAUGGUACGAUUAAAACCAGAGGGUGUUCACUUCAAGUUAAAAAUAUUCUUUGAUUAUUUACAGUAAUAGUGAUGGUGCAUAUAGUACAUAACUGCA
Molecule: non-coding RNA, 782 nt
Organism: Camellia sinensis
Lineage: Eukaryota; Viridiplantae; Streptophyta; Magnoliopsida; Ericales; Theaceae
Source: RefSeq, a predicted model, not a curated record